RNAcentral lists this ribosomal RNA (274 nucleotides) under uncultured bacterium. RNAcentral describes it as "partial 16S ribosomal RNA". It matches the Rfam family "Bacterial small subunit ribosomal RNA", at positions 523 to 796 of the family's 1533-position model. The record is from RNAcentral.
AUACGAAGGGGGCUAGCGUUGUUCGGAAUUACUGGGCGUAAAGCGCGCGUAGGCGGAUUGGUCAGUUAGGGGUGAAAUCCCAGGGCUUAACCCUGGAACUGCCUCUAAUACUGCCAGUCUUGAGUUCGGGAGAGGUGAGUGGAAUUCCUAGUGUAGAGGUGAAAUUCGUAGAUAUUAGGAAGAACACCAGUGGCGAAGGCGGCUCACUGGCCCGAUACUGACGCUGAGGCGCGAAAGCGUGGGGAGCAAACAGGAUUAGAAACCCCGGUAGUCC